RNAcentral lists this ribosomal RNA (467 nucleotides) under uncultured bacterium. RNAcentral's name for it is "partial 16S ribosomal RNA". It matches the Rfam family "Bacterial small subunit ribosomal RNA", at positions 28 to 507 of the family's 1533-position model. The record is from RNAcentral.
GACGAACGCUGGCGGCGUGCUUAACACAUGCAAGUCGAACGGAAAGGCCCUGCUUUUGUGGGGUGCUCGAGUGGCGAACGGGUGAGUAACACGUGAGUAACCUGCCCUUGACUUUGGGAUAACUUCAGGAAACUGGGGCUAAUACCGGAUAGGAGCUCCUGCUGCAUGGUGGGGGUUGGAAAGUUUCGGCGGUUGGGGAUGGACUCGCGGCUUAUCAGCUUGUUGGUGGGGUAGUGGCUUACCAAGGCUUUGACGGGUAGCCGGCCUGAGAGGGUGACCGGCACCAUGGGGACUGGGAAACGGCCCAGACUCUUCCGGGGGGAAGAGGGGGGGAUUAUGGCACAAGGGCCGGAGCCCGAAGGAAGAAACGCGGCGGGGGGAAGGUGGCCCUUCGGGUGUAAACCGCUUUCGCCUGUGACGAAGCGUGAGUGACGGUAAUGGGUAAAGAAGCACCGGCUAACUACGUG